GAUGAACGCUCGCGGCAGGCCUAAUACAUGCAAGUCGAACGGGAUCCAGAUCAAAGCUUGCUUUGGUCUGGUGGGAGUGGCGCACGGGUGCGUAACGCGUGAGCAACCUACCCUUGUCAGGGGGAUAGCCCGGCGAAAGUCGGAUUAAUACCGCAUGACAUCAUUGAGAGGCAUCUUUCGAUGAUCAAAGAUUUAUCGGACAAGGAUGGGCUCGCGUGACAUUAGCUAGUUGGUAAGGUAACGGCUUACCAAGCCUGCGAUGUCUAGGGGCUCUGAGAGGAGAAGCCCCCACACUGGUACUGAGACACGGACCAGACGCCUACGGGAGGCAGCAGUAAGGAAGAUUGGUCAAUGGACGGAAGUCUGAACCAGCCAAGCCGCGUGCAGGAGGACGGCCCGAUGGGUUGUAAACUGCUUUUAUACGGGAACAAACGUCGGUACGUGUACCGGUCUGAGUGUACCGGAAGAAUAAGGAUCGGCUAACUCCGUG
Molecule: ribosomal RNA, 490 nt
Filed under: uncultured bacterium
Lineage: Bacteria
Description: partial 16S ribosomal RNA
Rfam family: Bacterial small subunit ribosomal RNA
Source: RNAcentral